Molecule: ribosomal RNA, 492 nt
Filed under: uncultured bacterium
Lineage: Bacteria
Description: partial 16S ribosomal RNA
Rfam family: Bacterial small subunit ribosomal RNA
Source: RNAcentral
AGUGAACGCUGGCGGUAGGCCUAACACAUGCAAGUCGAACGGCAGCACAGUAAUAGCUUGCUCUUACGGGUGGCGAGUGGCGGAUGGGGCCGGAAUACAUCGGAAUCUGCUUUUUCGUGGGGGAUAACGUAGGGAAACUUACGCCAAUACCGCAGACGACCUACGGGUGAAAGCAUGGGAUCUUCCGACCUUGCGCGAUUGAAUGAGCCGAUGUCGGAUUGGCUAGUUGGCGGGGUAAAGGCCCACCAAGGCGACGAUCCGUAGCUGGUCUGAGAGGAUGAUCAGCCACACUGGAACUGAGACACGGUCCAGACUCCUACGGGAGGCAGCAGUGGGGAAUAUUGGACAAUGGGCGCAAGCCUGAUCCAGCCAUACCGCGUGUGUGAAGAAGGCCUUCGGGUUGUAAAGCCCUUUUGUUGGGAAAGAAAAGCAGCAGGUUAAUACCCCGCUGUUCUGACGGUACCCAAAGAAUAAGCACCGGCUAACUUCGUG